GGGGUGUGAGAAAGCGGGAGGUGGGGCGACGGUGUGAGGAGAGACGGAAGGCGCGAAAGGAAAGUAGGGAACUCGGUCAGAAUCUGUCAGAAAGAAAACACAUUCUUUCAUUCAUUCAUUCAUUCCAGAAGAAAAAAAAGAGACAGCGCAUCAAAAUCAAGAAAGGAUGGAAAGGAACGAGGGGGGAGAAGAAACAAUUGCAAAGGUCCUUUUGUCCUCUCCCCUUCACUGUUCUAUGCGCCCUACGAACAGAAAGACAACACAAAAGAAAACAGACUGACUGCCCAACUGACGGAGUUUUCC
This 303-nucleotide non-coding RNA is filed under the name Chromera velia. The record is from RNAcentral. Lineage: Eukaryota; Chromeraceae.